CCCUUAGAUGUUCUGGGCUGCACGCGCGCUACACUGAAGCGUUCAACGAGUAUUCACCUUGCCCGGGAGGGUUGGGUAAUCUUUUGAAAACGCUUCGUGAUGGGGAUAGAUUAUUGCAAUUAUUAAUCUUCAACGAGGAAUUCCUAGUAAGCGCAAGUCAACAGCUUGCGUUGAUUACGUCCCUGCCCUUUGUACACACCGCCCGUCGCUACUACUGAUUGGAUGUUUAAGCGAGGUUCUCGAACUGCUAGCGACUUAGCUUCGGUGAGGUCGCAGUGUGGGAAGUGAACCUAGCUUUGGUGUCUAGAGGAAGUAAAAGUCGUAACA
Molecule: ribosomal RNA, 327 nt
Filed under: uncultured eukaryote
Lineage: Eukaryota
Description: partial 18S ribosomal RNA
Rfam family: Eukaryotic small subunit ribosomal RNA
Source: RNAcentral